GAUAUCACUAACAUGGCCUCACAAAGUACUAAAAAUGGAAAAAGGAGUCGGUUCUCACUGAUCUUCCUUUUGCUAGCUAGCCAGCGGCUCUCAACUCUGUGAAGGCCACAAGGCUAGAGCCAAAUAUACCCAAAAAGAGGGAAGUAAAUUCUUACAAAAUCAAUUUUGCUGUCUCUGCCCUAAUAAUGAAAGAUUCCUCUCCGUAGCUGCUUUGCCUUAUCCUGAAACCCUAGAAGACCAAAGAGAAAGCCUCAGUACUCCUUCAACAGACCCAUCAGAUUUGUUAAGGCAAUGGGGCUGCACCGCUGAUGACAUUUCCAAGAUUUUUCAGCGCCGCCCAUCUUUGCGCAAAAUGGAACACAAAAACCUUCAAUCGAAGCUCAAAAUACUCAGCGAUUUAGGUAUUGAAUCCUCUGACCUUACCAAGAUUCUUAACUGUCGUCCUCGUUUCCUUAAUUGUCGCAUCAAUCGUUGCUUAGAAGAGCGCCUUGAGUUUUCCAGACUUUGUUUGGUACCAAACAAGUUCUUCUCAAGGCCAUUGUGAGAAAUCCAUCGUUGCUUACUUAUGACUUCCACAAACAGAUUAAACCAACCGUUGCAUUUUAUGAGCAAUUGGGUCUUAGCAGAAGUGAUUUAAUUUCCAUGCUUUUAGCCCGACCAACUCUCAUACCAAGAAGUUCUUUGGAUGAUGAGAAGAUGGAUUACUUUCGAAGAACCGGUGUUGAAAAGGGUACUAGGAUGUUUAAACAUGUGAUUACCCUGUUUGCUAUUUCACGGUCGGAGACUAUCCGACAGAAGGUGGCUAAUUUGGAGAAACAUGGGUUUACUGAUGAUGAGGUUUUUAGGCUUUUUGGACGGUCUCCUUUUCUGUUAACAUUAUCUGUUGAUAAGGUUCAGAGGAACAUGACAUUUAUAUUGGGUACAAUGAAGCUUUCUGCCAGUUUGGUUCUUGAUAACCCAUGUUUGCUUUUCUUGAAUUUGGAGACCGCCAUAAAGCCAAGGUACUUUUUAGGGGGGAAGAUAGAUGAUAUGGGUCUGCUUCCUCGUGUGAAGGGUCCUUCUUUGUUAAGAGCAAUGAGGAUAUGGGUCUGCUUCCUCGUGUGAAGGGUCCUUCUUUGUUAAGAGCAAUGAGGAUGACCGAAAAGCGCUUCAUCAAGGCCUUUAUAAGUUGCCAUCCGGAGGACGUGGCUCGUGAACUGAUGGAGUACUACAGAAGCGUUAAAUGUGUUAGAAGGUUGGCAGAAUCCUCCAAGAAACAUUUGUGCAAAGGAUUCCCUUUUUGAGCAUAUUUUUGUAACAGAGGCUUCUCCAACUAUUAUUUGACUUUGUUUCUUAUUGAAUUCCUGUUCAUUUUUCAUUGACAGAAAGUAGAUUAUACCUGUAUCAUUGACUACCUGUGGAUGCUUGCUUGUUAUUUUGAAGUAUAGUCAAUAAGAAUGAUAUUCUGUUGGGGAAGUGGAUGGAGGCUAAUGAUGUAAAAUUACCUUCUGAUAUAAUGUAUUUCAUGCCCA
Long non-coding RNA from Nicotiana attenuata, 1511 nucleotides. RefSeq lists it as uncharacterized. Lineage: Eukaryota; Viridiplantae; Streptophyta; Magnoliopsida; Solanales; Solanaceae. The transcript has 2 exons. The record is from RefSeq and is a predicted model, not a curated record.